GUUUCAAACAGAGCUUCUACGUUUGCCGGUCGUUAUGCGUUGGUUUGUAUUUCUCUUCCAGUUCCAUUUGCAACUAAGAAGUCUAGAAAUACCAGAGGACAAAAUCAGAGAGACUGUUCCAUAAAUACCAUCAGCUGUUUUAGUUGGGUGCAGGGAAGAAGAAAGAAGGUAGAAGGAAGGCAGAAGAAGACAUACAUGAGAACCUCCAGCCACUGGGAUCUGGCUGCUAGGAGGACACUGCUGUGGAGGCUUAGCCAGCAAUGGGAAUACUAUGGUGCUAAUUGGCCAAUCCACAGCCGAGUCCCCAGGAAGAAUUCUGGCUGAUACAGAAGUAAGCACAGCACGCUUCCUCCUUGGUAUCCGGCCCCUGAGUGGAUGUGCAACAGAAGAAGGGAUCUCCUUGUUUACUAUUCCAUUAGCCAUAUGCACCUGCAUCUCUGGUCAGAACCUGGCCUUAUAGCGUUCUGUGGGGUGAGCCAG
Molecule: long non-coding RNA, 480 nt
Organism: Mauremys reevesii (Reeves's turtle)
Lineage: Eukaryota; Metazoa; Chordata; Testudines; Geoemydidae
Exons: 3
Source: RefSeq, a predicted model, not a curated record